CGCGAGACCUUACCAGGUCUUGACAUCCCAAUGACCGUCUUAGAGAUAAGACUUUCCCUUCGGGGACAUUGGUGACAGGUGGUGCAUGGUUGUCGUCAGCUCGUGUCGUGAGAUGUUGGGUUAAGUCCCGCAACGAGCGCAACCCUUAUUCUUAGUUGCCAUCAUUUAGUUGGGCACUCUAAGGAGACUGCCGGUGACAAACCGGAGGAAGGUGGGGAUGACGUCAAAUCAUCAUGCCCCUUAUGACCUGGGCUACACACGUGCUACAAUGGACGGUACAAAGAGCUGCAAGCCCGCGAGGGUUAGCCAAUCUCAUAAGACCGUUCUCAGUUCGGAUUGUAGUCUGCAACUCGACUACGUGAAGCCGGAAUCGCUAGUAAUCGCGGAUCAGCAUGCCGCGGUGAAUACGUUCCCGGGCCUUGUACACACCG
RNAcentral lists this ribosomal RNA (431 nucleotides) under uncultured bacterium. Its description in RNAcentral is "bacterial SSU rRNA". It matches the Rfam family "Bacterial small subunit ribosomal RNA", at positions 962 to 1392 of the family's 1533-position model. The record is from RNAcentral.